Molecule: RNA transcript, 5166 nt
Organism: Hippopotamus amphibius kiboko
Lineage: Eukaryota; Metazoa; Chordata; Mammalia; Artiodactyla; Hippopotamidae
Gene: MTERF4
Gene name: mitochondrial transcription termination factor 4
Exons: 5
Source: RefSeq, a predicted model, not a curated record
GCGCGGCUUCCGGCGUCGGCGGCGCUGUCACCGCCUCCGCGAUAUGGCGGCGCUGGGCCGGCAGGUCUUUGAUUGGCACCGCCGGAUCGCCCUCACCUGGGCCCUCAUUGCUAGGCAGACUCCUCAGCUUGGAGAACAGAAAAGGACGACUGCUUUUUUCUUGCGUACGCUGACGACAGCCUCCAAUGGAGGGGGCCUUGAGAAGUCGUCCUUUGUUGAACCCCAAAAGUGUGCACAGGAACCAGAGCACAGGACGGGGCUGAUUCAGUGCCUCCUUGAGAAGCAGAGGACUCCUGUGGAGCGAGAGAAGAUCGUCAGUUCCCUCCUGGACAUGGGUUUCAGUGAUGUCCACGUUCAUGAACUGUUCAGCAUACAGCCAGGUACCCACCCUCAACAGCUGCUGGACAUCAUUUCAGAGUUAAUACUCCUGGGUCUGAAUCCAGAAUCUGUGUGUGUGGCCUUGAAGAAAAGUCCUCAGUUACUGAAACUGCCUGUAAUGCAAAUGAAGAAGCGCUCCAGUUACCUGCGCAAGCUGGGGCUUGGAGAAGGGAAAUUAAAGAGGGUGCUUUACUGUUGCCCUGAAAUUUUCACCAUGCGUCAGCGGGACAUUGAGGUCAUUGUUGGGGUUCUCAAGGAGAAGUGCCUUUUCACGGUAAAGCAAGUCACUGAGAUUUUGCACAGAUGCCCCUAUGUUCUUCGAGAGGACCCUGGUGAACUGGAAUACAAAUUCCAGUAUGCCUAUUUCAGGAUGGGGAUUAAACAUGUGGAUGUGGUGCGGACCGACUUCCUGCAGUAUUCCAUGACCAAGACCAAGCAGAGGCACUUGUUCCUGGAGCGCCUGGGCCGGUACCAGACCCCCGACAAGAAGGGGCAGACACAGGUGUCCAACCCGUUACUCAAGGACAUUCUUAGAGUUUCGGAAGCUGAGUUUCUGGCCAGGACAGCCUGCUCUUCUGCUGAGGAGUUUGAGGUUUUUAAGAAACUCUUGGCCAGGGAGGAGGAGGAGUCUGAGGGCUGCAUGGCUGACGAGGAAAGUCUGGAGGAGGAGGAGGAGCAGGAGCUGGAGGAGGAGGAGCAGGAGCUGUGAUGCACGGACUGGAGUGAAAAGAGUCCAGAGAGGUCAGAGGAUAUUUUAAUUUUCUCAGAGCUUUUGGGGACUUCACUUGGAUCUUCUCAGGUUAUUUUUCAUUCUCCAGCUGGUCUUUUGAUGAAAAAUUACUGGAAAUCACCUGAGAAGUAGACAGGCCAAACUAAGCAGCACAUGCAUUGGUUUGAUCUGCUGCUGUCAGGUCCUGUGUGGUGGGCCCACUUCCAUCCCGAAUAAAAGGCUGACUUUUCCUCUGUCAUCGGUGUUGGUGACAAUUCUGUGACAGUGUAGGGGAUAUUUCUUCUCAUUCAGGAGUCAUUUUACAUCCUUCUAGUGACAAAGACAACGUUAAAAGAAGACAGUGAGGUUUUAGUACAUCAUAGCACUUUAUUUUAUGAAAACAAGUAGCAGGUUUUCCACAAACACACUCCUGGUUUUAAUUCAGAAAUAUCUUAUUGCUUUGUGAUUGCAUUCAGUGUACAGCAGGGUGAAAGGGAGUUGAUUAGUGAUGUAUGGUUUUGCUCUGCACAGCUUCUUAGUGCCAGCAAAGUGUGGGGGCACUUUUUGCAUUUUUGUGAAGAACAGGCCCUGACUCUGACCUCUGGGGGAAUUUGCUUUUGUGCCAGCUCAGGCCCAGGGGGUCAUGUCCAGACCUGACGUCUCCGGCAGCUGUGGAGUGCUGACGUGGAGCGAGCCAGGACCUGGUGCAGCUGGGGCUUCUGAGACCAGAGGAGAAAGAGCACCUGCCAGGGUCAUGGGGAGGGCGGGGCCUGGAGCCAGGGCCGUGGGUCUGGGCUUGGUUUCAAUUCAGGGAGCUCUCCAUGACACCAGAGGUGGUGGAAGGGCCCCUGGGGAGGCCAGUGGGUCUGAGGAGCGACUUGAAGAGGUGGGGUUGGGGAAUGGACUUGGAUGUAAGCCAGGGGUCAUCUCUGAGGUGGAGGUCCAGCCCUGAUGGCACGAGCUCUGUGGGGUGAGAGGACGGGAGGUUCUUAGAACAUUCUGGGGAUCCCUUCUUUGGCGGGGGAACUGGCAUAAGACUGAUGCUGCAGAAGACAUUUUUGGUGAUGUGCCCAACACAGGUCUUUGCAGCAUUUUAACGGCCACGUGAGACUCCUGGUGCUUUGCCUUGUUUUUCUUGCAGAGACCAUGUAAAUCUCAUCAGGCAGCGGUUCUCACCUGAGGGUGAGCUGGACUGCAGGGAACAUCGAGCAACAUCUGGGGACAUUUCCGGUUGUUAGGACCAGGAGCAUGUGCAAUUGGGGUCUAGUGGGUCAAGGCCAGGGCUGCUGUUAAACAUCCUGCAGCCACAGGACAGGCCCACAACAGGAUGUGCCAGCCCAGAGGGCAGCAGUGCCGAGGCUCAGACUCUGAUCUGAGGCCUCAUCUAGCAAAACGCAACUGUGUUGAUUCGUGAGAACUUGAGAUUUUAAAUGGGCUUACAUUUGUUGUUUCUCUUUUAUUUAAAAGCAAAUUGAAGAGCUCAUUUUUUUUUUUUUUGCACACGGGCUUAGUUGCUCCGCGGCAUGUGGAAUCUUCCUGGAGCUGGGAUCGAACCCAUGACCUCUGCAUUGGCAGGCAGAUUCUUAACCACUGCGCCACCUAGGAAGCCCUGAAGAGCUCAUUUUUAAAGAGAGUUCCUCUCCCCUCUGUACUGGGAUACUGUUGGUAGAUUUGAGCUGCAUUUUAUGUGGGGGAUUUGGCACUGAAGUGUGCAUGCUUUUUCUUUCUCCAGGUUCAUAUUCGAGCAUGACUGCAAAGAGAAACAUUUUUUGCAAAAGAACAGUAGCUUAGUGAACCCCUCCACACGUGAGUCUGACUCCGGUGGCAGUGGUUGGCUGGUGGCAGGCGUCUUAGCCCAGGGAGGUGCUGGAGGCUGGCUGGCAUGGGGUGGAGCCCUCGCCUGUUGGGAUGGCUGAUGUGAGAGCAGCGCGGUGCCGCGUAGCUUUCCUCAUUUGCACCCGUGUCAGCCUGUGUGCAAGGGGAAAAGGGAGGUUUUGUCUUUACUGUCUUUCUUGGCCAUGGCAGAAUUAUUUGAAAGUGAAGAGAUUUUAUUUUUCAUUUACUCUUGUGUUUUGUGGCCUCCGGGUGGCCGGCUCUGUCCCUGGAACCUAGGGUAUUGCUCUUGUGCUCCCUAGUCGGGACUAACAGAAUCUUAAAUCUAAGCUCGAUUACAUGGUUAGUUGAUCCAAGUUUUGAUUAGCACAGGCUAACUCGGCGAUUGCUGAUUGCUCCUUUCUUUGCGACACGGAAGUGUGUAUGCCUCUGACAGUUUUCUGAUUGUAUUGUUACUGAUCUCUUUGGGUGGACUUUGAGUGUUUCCAAGGAAGACAUUAGAGUUUUAAGAAGGAGCCAUGUGGAAAAAAGCAGUGGCUCGUUUGUAACAUUUCAAGGAUGAAUUAUAGUUCCUUUAGCAUCAGGAAGUCUUUACUAGAUGUUUAAUUUAUAAAACAUCAAAAUGGGUUAAUCAUAAGAAAACACAGCACCAAGCUUAGGAUUCAGUAGAUGGUUUCUUGUAGAAACAAAGGCUUCUAAGCUAAAGACUGGAACAUGUUACAUUUGCCUCGUGGCUGAGGGGCUUGAGGUCAUCAGUACGGCGGCAGAGAGUUUCGUGUGCAUUCCAGUGAUAUCAGUGUCGGAGCCCCUGGACCGCUCCCAGCCAUCUUCUCCAGGCGGGCCUUGGACACUGGGGACCUCCUGGAGUACGGUAGAGGCGUCUCCAAGUGACGGUUCCUCCCUGCUGAAAAUGACAGACUGCAUAAUACACAGACAUAUGCACACAGAACUUUAAUAAAAAUAAAAAGCCUAAAAUAUAACUCUAUAAAAAUUUUUUUUAUAAACGAUGAAAGGAAGGAGCCCUUUCUGUGACUGUAAUGCUGACUCAGGGCAGAGUCAGUGGAAGACGCACAGGGGCCUGAGUUCCAGUUUGGGUCAGCUGUCAAAAUACUCCACACGCUACGAGGUGGGGUUGGUUUCCUUGGUUUUCAUCUCAUCUGCAGGGAGAAGUGAGCCCUGGUUAGAAGCGUGCUGGAGAGCUGGGGUGUCAGGAUGACGCGGUGGUCUGCUUGUGAAGAAGGAGCGUGUGGAAGACGCUCCAUAGCCCCAAACAGUGUUCUUUGAGUCACGGAUGAAGAGAAACCUUAACCAGCAUCUCGUCUGGCCGGCCUCAGCUGUGCACCUCCAUUGCUGUCAGGCUUGUGGGAGGAGCCUCGCUGUACUUGGGAAAGGUGCUGCCUUGGCUAUCUCAGUGGGGUUUGAACCCCUUGAGGUUUCCAUGCAACCCUGGAGGUCUUUGGUGCCUUGGUGGGACUUGUUAUCCACGGGAUAGGCCAAAGUCUAUGACCUCAGAGACCAGGGGUUAGUCCAGUGUGGCCCAUGGCCAACUUGGCCCCACCUGUGUUUGUAAAUAAAGUUUUAUUGGAACCCAGCCGCACCUCUUCAGUCACAUGCCUGUGGUUGCAUUUGUGCUGCAACUGCAGAGCUGAGUACUGUCGUAGUGCCACAGUCCGCAAAGACAAGAAUGCUGUCUGGCCUUUACAGAAGAGGGUGCCGGUAAAAAGUGUCUAAAUUCCAUCUUAGUGUCCGUUACCAUUUUCUCUCUCAAAGUCAGCUGGUCCAUACGGUGGAUCAGUAGCCUGCCAGCCAUCGGCUAAGUGACCUGCUGGCGGAGGAGAACUGGGUGAAGUGCUUCCAGUGUGGCCUCAUCUCUGCCCCUGCCUCCCAGCCCCACCAUCUCUGCUCUGGAAGCUGUUGCUAGCAGUUCCUUCUCAGUUUGGUUGUUAGUUCUCAAAGGAAGAAUUCUUUCUCUGACUUUGGAGUCUGAGAACUGGUUUCUGAAAGUUGCAGAAGCAUUCCUGGCAGACAGCCUUGCUCAGCCAGGGCCACCGUGUAUGCCGUGGGUAGGCAUUCACCGUGGUGCAGGCGGCCCCUUGGAAGACCGCAGCUUGGGCUGUCAGGUGUGGGUCCUGUCCCGGAGGUCUGCCUGGCUGUGGCUGGGCAAGGAGGUGGCUGGUGCUUGCCCGGCCUGGCCAUCUGUCUUCCAGAGGCCGGAGGAGAGGAGCCCAUCAGAGCACUGACUCCAG